ACAUCUAAUAAUAUUGUGAUCAUUUAUUUUAUUUAAAGUACAAUCUUGUUAAUCACAUUUGUAUUUAUUUAAUUCUCUUAUUAUUAUUUAUUAUAAAUAGAUCCACAAAUCUGAGACAAACAUUUUAACAUUUAGAUAUUUAUUAGUAAAAAUAUAGUAUAAAACUUUGGUUGGAUAUUAUUAUAUUCACAACACUUAGCGAGAACCCUUACAAUNNNN
This 219-nucleotide long non-coding RNA is filed under the name Brassica napus (rape). RNAcentral describes it as "long non-coding RNA (BNAP_LNC011789)". Lineage: Eukaryota; Viridiplantae; Streptophyta; Magnoliopsida; Brassicales; Brassicaceae. The record is from RNAcentral.